Molecule: ribosomal RNA, 1303 nt
Filed under: Lactobacillus gasseri
Lineage: Bacteria; Bacillati; Bacillota; Bacilli; Lactobacillales; Lactobacillaceae
Description: bacterial SSU rRNA
Rfam family: Bacterial small subunit ribosomal RNA
Source: RNAcentral
UGAAUUUGGUGCUUGCACCAAAUGAAACUAGAUACAAGCGAGCGGCGGACGGGUGAGUAACACGUGGGUAACCUGCCCAAGAGACUGGGAUAACACCUGGAAACAGAUGCUAAUACCGGAUAACAACACUAGACGCAUGUCUAGAGUUUAAAAGAUGGUUCUGCUAUCACUCUUGGAUGGACCUGCGGUGCAUUAGCUAGUUGGUAAGGUAACGGCUUACCAAGGCAAUGAUGCAUAGCCGAGUUGAGAGACUGAUCGGCCACAUUGGGACUGAGACACGGCCCAAACUCCUACGGGAGGCAGCAGUAGGGAAUCUUCCACAAUGGACGCAAGUCUGAUGGAGCAACGCCGCGUGAGUGAAGAAGGGUUUCGGCUCGUAAAGCUCUGUUGGUAGUGAAGAAAGAUAGAGGUAGUAACUGGCCUUUAUUUGACGGUAAUUACUUAGAAAGUCACGGCUAACUACGUGCCAGCAGCCGCGGUAAUACGUAGGUGGCAAGCGUUGUCCGGAUUUAUUGGGCGUAAAGCGAGUGCAGGCGGUUCAAUAAGUCUGAUGUGAAAGCCUUCGGCUCAACCGGAGAAUUGCAUCAGAAACUGUUGAACUUGAGUGCAGAAGAGGAGAGUGGAACUCCAUGUGUAGCGGUGGAAUGCGUAGAUAUAUGGAAGAACACCAGUGGCGAAGGCGGCUCUCUGGUCUGCAACUGACGCUGAGGCUCGAAAGCAUGGGUAGCGAACAGGAUUAGAUACCCUGGUAGUCCAUGCCGUAAACGAUGAGUGCUAAGUGUUGGGAGGUUUCCGCCUCUCAGUGCUGCAGCUAACGCAUUAAGCACUCCGCCUGGGGAGUACGACCGCAAGGUUGAAACUCAAAGGAAUUGACGGGGGCCCGCACAAGCGGUGGAGCAUGUGGUUUAAUUCGAAGCAACGCGAAGAACCUUACCAGGUCUUGACAUCCAGUGCAAACCUAAGAGAUUAGGAGUUCCCUUCGGGGACGCUGAGACAGGUGGUGCAUGGCUGUCGUCAGCUCGUGUCGUGAGAUGUUGGGUUAAGUCCCGCAACGAGCGCAACCCUUGUCAUUAGUUGCCAUCAUUAAGUUGGGCACUCUAAUGAGACUGCCGGUGACAAACCGGAGGAAGGUGGGGAUGACGUCAAGUCAUCAUGCCCCUUAUGACCUGGGCUACACACGUGCUACAAUGGACGGUACAACGAGAAGCGAACCUGCGAAGGCAAGCGGAUCUCUGAAAGCCGUUCUCAGUUCGGACUGUAGGCUGCAACUCGCCUACACGAAGCUGGAAUCGCUAGUAAUCGC